Molecule: ribosomal RNA, 497 nt
Filed under: uncultured bacterium
Lineage: Bacteria
Description: partial 16S ribosomal RNA
Rfam family: Bacterial small subunit ribosomal RNA
Source: RNAcentral
GAUGAACGCUGGCGGCGUGCCUAAUACAUGCAAGUCGAGCGAACAGAUGAGGAGCUUGCUCCUCUGACGUUAGCGGCGGACGGGUGAGUAACACGUGGAUAACCUACCUAUAAGACUGGGAUAACUUCGGGAAACCGGAGCUACUACCGGCUAAUAUAUUGAACCGCAUGGUUCAAUAGUGAAAGACGGCUUUGCUGUCACUUAUAGAUGGAUCCGCGCCGCAUUAGCUAGUUGGUAAGGUAACGGCUUACCAAGGCAACGAUGCGUAGCUGACCUGAGAGGGUGAUCGGCCACACUGGAACUGAGACACGGUCCAGACUCCUACGGGAGGCAGCAGUAGGGAAUCUUCCGCAAUGGGCGAAAGCCUGACGGAGCAACGCCGCGUGAGUGAUGAAGGUCUUCGGAUCGUAAAACUCUGUUAUUAGGGAAGAACAAAUGUGUAAGUAACUAUGCACGUCUUGACGGUACCUAAUCAGAAAGCCACGGCUAACUACGUG